GCGAGUGGCGAACGGGUGAGUAAUAUAUCGGAACGUGCCCAGUCGUGGGGGAUAACGCAGCGAAAGCUGUGCUAAUACCGCAUACGAUCUCUGGAUGAAAGCGGGGGACUCGCAAGGGCCUCGCGCGAUUGGAGCGGCCGAUAUCAGAUUAGCUAGUUGGUGGGGUAAAAGCCCACCAAGGCGACGAUCUGUAGCUGGUCUGAGAGGACGACCAGCCACACUGGAACUGAGACACGGUCCAGACUCCUACGGGAGGCAGCAGUGGGGAAUUUUGGACAAUGGGCGAAAGCCUGAUCCAGCAAUGCCGCGUGCAGGAUGAAGGCCUUCGGGUUGUAAACUGCUUUUGUACGGAACGAAACGGCUGCCCCUAAUACGGGUGGCUAAUGACGGUACCGUAAGAAUGAGCACCGGCUAACUACGUGCCAGCAGCCGCGGUAAUACGUAGGGUGCGAGCGUUAAUCGGAAUUACUGGGCGUAAAGCGUGCG
This 486-nucleotide ribosomal RNA is filed under the name uncultured Rhodoferax sp. RNAcentral describes it as "bacterial SSU rRNA". It matches the Rfam family "Bacterial small subunit ribosomal RNA", at positions 91 to 571 of the family's 1533-position model. The record is from RNAcentral. Lineage: Bacteria; Pseudomonadati; Pseudomonadota; Betaproteobacteria; Burkholderiales; Comamonadaceae.